RNA transcript from Silurus meridionalis, 845 nucleotides. RefSeq lists it as uncharacterized. Lineage: Eukaryota; Metazoa; Chordata; Actinopteri; Siluriformes; Siluridae. The transcript is spliced from 6 exons. The record is from RefSeq and is a predicted model, not a curated record.
CGAAAAGCAGCUCAACAAGGAAAUGAUUCACAGAGGUGAAAAGCCCCCAUUAAAAUGUGACAUUUGUUUCCUCAAAGCAGCUAGUUUUAAGAGGCGGAUAAACGCUUGCUACAAACGGCUCUGCUUUUGAAGCAAGGGGAACAGAGCACAUCCUGCUGUUACUCAAAGUUAUACAGUAUGCUUCGCUUAUCCAGUAUUCAAUAUGCACGAAAGGAAAAGAUGGUAUCUAAUGGGUUUCUUUUUGCUGUAAUUCAUCUAUCAGCAUUAGUCAGUGGUCACGUAUGCGUGGAACAGCUGCCAAGCAUUGUACAUCUCACAGAGGGAAAAAAUGUUACCAUCUCAUGUUACAUCCAUGCAGAUGAAGGAGAGAAAAUUUCUAAAUUCCUUGUGGAGUGGUUCAAGGAGGAGGCUGAGGGACAACUAAUCAAUGUUGGAAAACUUUCCAAGCUUAAAGGAAGGUUGCAUGAAAACACUAAUAGCAUUCAACACAGUGCAAGCCUUUCAUUUUACAUGCUCGAGCUAAAUGACACUGGCAGAUAUUUCUGCAAUUUUAUCUAUCGGAUUGAUCAUCAUAUACUGCAGCUACAUGCGAACGGCACAAGACUCAUCGUUCAAGAAGAGGUAACUGCAGACACGACUAUCGCCAGUACCACCGAAAAUACUCCUAAUAAUACUAGUGCUGAUACUGAGAAGGUCAUCACAGACAAUCUCCUUCUAACAUUUCUUCUUUCUCUUCCAUUAUUAUUAAAGUUUGUGGCAACUGUGUUCAUAUGCGUUUAUACUUUGUUUUCCUAUACAUCAAUUGUUAUUUCUUGCCGUUUUACAUAAAAAUCUUUUCAAAUGUC